CCUGGAGAUUCAAGUUCACUU
RNAcentral lists this microRNA (21 nucleotides) under Marchantia polymorpha subsp. ruderalis. Lineage: Eukaryota; Viridiplantae; Streptophyta; Marchantiopsida; Marchantiales; Marchantiaceae. The record is from RNAcentral.